Non-coding RNA from Cyanistes caeruleus (blue tit), 1436 nucleotides. Lineage: Eukaryota; Metazoa; Chordata; Aves; Passeriformes; Paridae. The record is from RefSeq and is a predicted model, not a curated record.
AUGACUUUUGGCGUGGGUCCUGCCCGGUGUUUCCGCCGUGGCUCUCACGGCCAUCUCUUCCCCGGAGGAGAGGGUCCUGCUGGCGAGCGGGGAAGCUUGGUGGCAUUAAAGCGUCAGUAGGAUGUCAUUUGUGCUGCAGGGAAACGUCGGGAAGGGCUCCCGAUUUACCGAGACCACGGGGGAUUUCAAAGUCUCGCUCCAAAUAACUUGUGUUAAGAAGUGACGGUGUUUAUUAGCGUCUUCAAAAACCUCAGCCCAGCCACAGGGACUUUCCCAGUCCAGCCAGAGGAAAGGGGCACUGGGGCUCAGGGGCUGCUGGUCGCUUCAAGCCAUCCAGCCACUUUUCUCCUUUUCCAGUUCGUGCCUAAGACCCGCAAAGUGGACCUGUUAGCAUAAGCAUACGGAUUAACUGAGCCCUUUGACAAGUUUAUGGAGCUGCCAUCUCUCUGCUUGCUGUACUUUCUGUUUCUGAGAGGAGAAAGUGGUGCAUGAGAUUAGAGGAAAAUGCCUCGGACAAAGCAGAUACAUCCCAGAAAUCUGAGAGUUUAGAUAAUGAAGAAAACUGGAUUUCACUUUCUUCAGUCGUCUUAUCAGUCUCUGAGAGCAUUGCAGAAAAUAUUUGCUUGAACCUUCAGUUUUUGCUGGAACUUGGAACUGUUUCCUGACAGCUUAUUUUUGCGUAUGCAAAGUUAGACACAUCUUAAAUUGAUACUGUUAACUAACAAUUAAAAAUUUUAAAAAUGGGUGGUUUAGCACUUGGUUUAAUCCAUGGUAAUUAGUAUUGAUGACAACUAAGUGUGCAAAAAAACAUAAAUGUAUAUAGUCGAAGGUGAAACUCAGCAAACUUGAAAACGGAAAAGUAUGUUCUGUAACAUUUGAAAGAUGAAGGUGUAAGAUUAAGUAACCUGUGUUUUUAUGGGUUUUUAGGUUAAAAGCUAUUUUUAAGUUGUCUAAACCUGAUAGUCACCUUUUGUACUUUGUACAAAGAACACUCCAUGGCCUUACCUGGCUUCUCCUUCCCUGCUGCCAGCUCCUCUCGUUGCCCCAUAGCAAUCAAAUUGCCAACAGCUUUAACUAGACUUGCUCAGAGCCCAUCAAUGUUUAACUUUUUUGGAGACACCCUUGAGACUCUCUAUGCUGUUGUGCGUUAGAAGGGUUGCACUUGCAGUCCAAAUCAGCCUGGAGAAUAAAUAACCAAAUCCAAGAACCUGAAGUAUUUUCCCUUAAACAAACCCCAAUACAAUCCUUCUCCCCACCUGCCAAAAAAACACACAGGAGAAAAACCACCAUAGAGAUCCCCCCCACACACUCCCAUUAGUUAAUUUGAGGUUUGCUGCAGUGUAGGAAUAAGUUUUGAAGGUUUUAAUAUUGGCUGUGUUUACUGUAAGCAACCUUAUUCUAUGAGGAAAAUAAAGUAAUGUUGUUUAAUAUAGAGA